RNAcentral lists this ribosomal RNA (253 nucleotides) under uncultured prokaryote. Its description in RNAcentral is "partial 16S ribosomal RNA". It matches the Rfam family "Bacterial small subunit ribosomal RNA", at positions 525 to 777 of the family's 1533-position model. The record is from RNAcentral.
ACAGAGGGGGCAAGCGUUAUUCGGAAUUAUUGGGCGUAAAGGGCGCGUAGGCGGCUUUGCAAGUGACGGGUGAAAUCCCUCGGCUUAACCGAGGAACUGCCUGUCAAACUGCAUGGCUUGAGACCAGGAGAGGUGAGUGGAAUUCCGAGUGUAGAGGUGAAAUUCGUAGAUAUUCGGAAGAACACCAGUGGCGAGGGCGGCUCACUGGACUGGUAUUGACGCUGAGGUGCGAAAGCGUGGGGAGCAAACAGGA